CCGCUGCCGCCGUCUAGGGUUCAAGCUGGCAGAUCGUGCCACCGGCACCGCCAGCCAAGUUCGCCCGCGGCGAGGACAAGCCACGACUGUAUCCUGUGUCGGCGUUCCGCGUCAAAGAGAGAGCAGGUUAGGGAUUCAGAAGUCAGCACUGGCAUCUUGAAUACCUAAAGUUGUUUUCAUGACACGUGUUUCUAUUAUAUUAGUCAAAGAAUUAUUUUAUAAGUCCAAGCCGCUGGAAAUGGCUUAGUCAAACUCGAACGGGAAAUGGAUGAAUCAAAUACAAACUUUUUUGAAAGUUUGUCGCACAUGCCUUCUUGGAUAAUCCAGGAAGGUACCGUGAUGGUACACAAGUUGAUCGCUUCUUCUAGCCACUUGGACUAUAGUAAGUUUCUCUGACUUCUACUGCUCAAUGGAUGACCGCUCAUGUGCCUUCCUGGAUGAUGCCUCCAUGGGAUGAUGCACAUUAUAUAUGCACACAUUUGGUGCCUAGUGUUCUCGACUUCUUUGUGCCUCGUCAAGCCAACUGAGCGAGCUUUGGGAAUUGGGAUUGACAACAAUGACGACGAUACCACCAGUUGGCUCUCCGCUCUCGGCCUCUCCUGCUGCUCAAAGCAUCCCCGACCCUGGCCUUCCAACCGGUGUCGCUGCUCAAGGUACCGCCACCCCUGGCCCUUCCAGUGAUGGUGGUGUUGCUGCUGCUGAAAGCAAGCCCGAAGUCCCUGCCGAACGCCCUAUCAGCCACGAUUCAACUCCCAGGCCUCCCGUCUCCAACGCAUAAGUUCUUGUUCUGCCUCGGAACUCCUACCUAUUGUUGUGCUAGUUAAAGUAUAAUACGUUUGUUCCCUCUUGUUCAGUAUACCCUGUGAACCCAAAAUUGUAACUGGUGAAUUCGGUAACUGCUGCACUUGUUCUUAUAACUGAUGUUGUUGUAAGCAUGGAAAUAUGUCUUGAAUACACGCAUCUGAUCAAUGGUACUGGUACCUAUGGGUCUAGGCAGUGUGAUUCAGACACCCUCGGUGACAUCAUCCACCGGGAGUGCACGCGGAGUAAGAUCAAGUAGAAUUAUUCUCAGGCUUGUACUUGUUCUCUUUUUUCAAUGAAAUGAAGCGCAAGGCGCUCAUGUGUUUUCUUGAGCAAA
Molecule: long non-coding RNA, 1138 nt
Organism: Triticum dicoccoides
Lineage: Eukaryota; Viridiplantae; Streptophyta; Magnoliopsida; Poales; Poaceae
Exons: 4
Source: RefSeq, a predicted model, not a curated record